Non-coding RNA from Cherax quadricarinatus, 1524 nucleotides. The record is from RefSeq and is a predicted model, not a curated record. Lineage: Eukaryota; Metazoa; Arthropoda; Malacostraca; Decapoda; Parastacidae.
CUGAAAGCCCUGGAUGCUAAUAAUUUUACAGCUCCUCUGUGAUAGCUGAAGAGUGGCAGUGCUCACUGCUUUCUGAUCUUCAUCACCGCUAUAUACAAGUCAGUGGGUCUCGUCAGUUUCUCUGAUGAGUAGCAGUGGCAUCAGAUCAAUGUGUUUUUAAUACUUACGAACUGUAUGCAGUGCAUUCAUCAAAGUAGCUUAUGAAGAAGCUUUCCUUGAAAUUCACCCGCAGAUCAUUUUACACAAAAAUAUAAGUUGUACAUAAAAUAUUCGUAAUUGAAUAUUCAGGGUUUAUUGUCAAUAAUGCUUCUGUUUUGUGAGAAUUUCUGUCCCAAAACCAUUUUUCACAAACUAGGGUAUGUAUGAAGAGACAUUUAAGAGAAGAAACUUUUUUAUUAUUAUAUCUAUAUCAUAAUAGAUAUUGAUGAGUGCUUGUAUAGUAAUCAUCAUUACCUAUUGUAAGAUCAUAGGGAGACUACUACAGGAAUGAUUUUAAAAGUUAAUAGAGACUACUUCCAGGACUGAUUGUAAAACAAUGGAGACUACUUCCAGGAAUGAUUGUAAAACAAUGGAGACUACUUCCAGGAAUGAUUGUAACAUUGAAUGCUUCAAAAAUUCAAAUUUUAAAGACUAAAUACUGCUUCAAAAAUUAUUGCUUGACAAUGGUGAUCACUUCAUAAAUGAUUGCAAGACUGAAGACUACUUCAUGAAUGAUUGAUAGAAUAGACUAUUUUAAGAAUUACUGUAAAACUAGGGACUACUUCAGUAAUAAUUUUAAAAUAAUGGAAUUUAUUUCAAGAAUGGUUGUAAGAUUAUAGAGUACAUACUUCAGGAGUGUUUCUUAUUUUCCUUUAGCAUUGCAUAAAAUAUUGUUACAUAAACCUGUUUAAAAUUGUGUAUUUUACCUACAAACCAUUUUGUUUAACCUCUCUUCAUUAUGAUUUAUCAUAAACAUUUAAUUUUUCAUUUUGUCUUGUACUAUAAUACUCUUCAGUUUCUUUCCAGAAAUGUUGAGAUAAACUUUAAAAAUGUAAUUGCUGUUUCUUAAAUAACAAGAAGGCACAAUACCGUGACUGGAACAGUACACAAAUAACCAGCACAUAGGAGAGAGGAGCUUGCGACGACGUUUCAGACCGAAACAUCGUCAUAAGCUCCUCCCUCCUAUGUGCGGGUUAUUUGUAUAGUGUGCUGUUUUUUAUUUUAACAAAUAUUGUGAAAUUUUGCCUUGCAAGGUUGUUAUUAUUAUUGCUCUACUUUUCUUGGACACGUUUCCUUCAGAUAGAUUCAUUCACGGAAUUCACAAUAAAUGUUGUUCUUAAAAUGUGCUUAACACUUUUCUCUUGUCAGAUGUAAUAAUUUUUUUCUGAAAUUGAUAAAUAAUGCACCACUCAAUGUGAGAAUUUAUUUGUCAUUUCAGUAUGAGAAUUUAGUUGUCAUUUAAAUAUGCUUUAUUUAUGUAAGAUUUCAUGCUUAAAUGGUACAAUGUGUAUGUUAAGUUUUGUUUAAUAUAUAUAACCUGAGUAA